RNAcentral lists this ribosomal RNA (445 nucleotides) under uncultured bacterium. RNAcentral describes it as "partial 16S ribosomal RNA". It matches the Rfam family "Bacterial small subunit ribosomal RNA", at positions 354 to 796 of the family's 1533-position model. The record is from RNAcentral.
GUAAGGAAUAUUGGACAAUGGACGCAAGUCUGAUCCAGCCAUGCCGCGUGAAGGAUUAAGGUCCUCUGGAUUGUAAACUUCUUUUAUAAGGGACGAAAAAAGGCUUUUCUAAGUCGUCUGACGGUACCUUAUGAAUAAGCACCGGCUAACUCCGUGCCAGCAGCCGCGGUAAUACGGAGGGUGCAAGCGUUAUCCGGAUUCACUGGGUUUAAAGGGUGCGUAGGCGGGCAGGUAAGUCAGUGGUGAAAUCCUAGAGCUUAACUCUAGAACUGCCAGUGAUACUAUCUGUCUUGAAUAUUGUGGAGGUAAGCGGAAUAUGUCAUGUAGCGGUGAAAUGCUUAGAUAUGACAUAGAACACCUAUUGCGAAGGCAGCUUACUACGCAUAUAUUGACGCUGAGGCACGAAAGCGUGGGGAUCAAACAGGAUUAGAUACCCCUGUAGUCC